Long non-coding RNA from Mya arenaria, 1381 nucleotides. RefSeq lists it as uncharacterized. The record is from RefSeq and is a predicted model, not a curated record. The transcript is spliced from 3 exons. NCBI's taxonomy places the organism in Eukaryota, Metazoa, Mollusca, Bivalvia, Myida, Myidae.
UUGUGAAAUCAGCAUUUUUUCACGCACUUUGUUUUUUGAGUUCAAAUUAUCAUUUUGACAGACAUCUUGUCUUUUUUACAUUUUUAAGAUUGGAUCCUAAGUAUAAUGUGAUCUGGUAUGUAUUAAUUCUCAAUUGUUUAAGUCUGCAUUUGGUUAAAUGAGUGUAUUGGAUGCUUUGUUUGUAUUUUUAUAGUAAGUCACAUAUUUUCGUGGUUCUGGUGACUUGUGAUUUGUGACUUGUUAUCAUCACCAUUGUGAAUGAACGAAUGAAUACAUAUAUAUAGACGAUACAUCGUGUUAUGAUUGUUUAAGCCACAAAUGGACACAUCCUUAAUAGUCCCUGGACAAUAUAUCUGAACCUUCCCCCAACAAGUCGAUCAGAACUUUCUUUACGAAAACGUCGGCUAGUUACAAAUGGCGCCCAACAAGUGUGGAUUAUUUUGGAAUUUUGUGGACAUACCAAUAAUGAACAGUCGUACAGAAAUAAACGGCUUUGUGAUUUUUUUAUAACAGACAGUUUUAUGUACUGGUAACAUUGUGGAACAGUAAUUCAGGAACUAGUAUACCAUAUAACCAUGAAGGAUGACUUUUUGUUUCCUGCCAUUAACAUUGCAACCUGGCCCUGGCAGAGGCAUGUACAGUUCAUUGAUGUUACCAGUGGAAUGCCGCGGACGUCAUUUUAAGACUGGAGGAGCCCAAGCAAUUGGUUGGAACAAACAGACAGGAAGGAGGACCUCAUUUUGCUGAACAUUAUUUAGAGACAGAGUGAUUAAAAACACAUUUGUGAAGAUUAGGACUAUUAUCAAGUGAAGUGUGAAGAUUUGGACUUAUAUUUAGUGAUAUCAAUAUUAAUAAUUAUUAAGACUAAAACAUUUUGUGUUUAAAAUAUAAAUAAAUCCAGUAUCCCGAGGUUCAACAGAUUUUUUAACAGAACAUUGACACCACGGUCUUGGGGUUGAGAGCAGAGAAGACUGAGAGACAUAUAUAUUUGACAUUUGGCGCCACACGCCUUAUGUUGACUUGUGACUUGUGAUUUGUGACUUGUUAUCAUCACCAUUGUGAAUGAACGAAUGAAUACAUAUAUAUAGACGAUACAUCGUGUUAUGAUUGUUUAAGCCACAAAUGGACACAUCCUUAAUAGUCCCUGGACAAUAUAUCUGAACCUUCCCCCAACAAGUCGAUCAGAACUUUCUUUACGAAAACGUCGGCUAGUUACAUACAUGAAGGAUUUGCCAUAUCAAAAAUCGUAAAAAAAAUCUGUAAACGUACAACUAUUUGGACUAGUCUACAGUACUGUACUGUAAGUAUGAUUUUUCAAGCAUUAGUUGUUUUGCUAUUGCUUUGUUGUCACCCCCAUGUAUCUGUUGUUGCCCAAAACGAA